CCGAGGGUGUGUUACCUCUGGAGCAAACGUGUCGUGCAAUCAAAGCAAUACAAAGUAAUACUUCUCAUAUUGGGUGUCCUAACUGAGCACUGAACACUACAUGUACUGUUGUUGACUAACAUUAUUGCACAACCUUCGCUUCUUCGGACACCAGUCGAAGCGGUCAAACCAGAAUAUAGUUCGGACGUCUGACCGGUCGGUGUAAAGCAAGCUUCUGGAAUAGGAGAGCUUUUGGAUUUCGAUUGAAAGCUAGCUGUGUAGAUCGAGAAUAUAACUUUGAAGGAAUUAUGAAGCGAGGGGCGUGUUUGUUUGUGCUAUUUACCUUGCUCUUGUUGGGCUUCAGUGACGGGGCCCCAUACCAGGCACGGGAUGGAGAGCUGUCUCAUCGUAAUCAGCAAGGAUAUGCCAAAAAGACGGAAAUGAAGUUGUCACCACUUCUUCUCAAGAUGAAGCAAGAAGCUGAUACUAUUCUUGGCCAGCGGUCUAAAAGAUCACCUUCCAGGGAGAUGGUUAGAAAAUAAAAAUAACGUUUUUAUUUCUUUCUCAAUACUCCUGUGUCAUCAUCUGCAGCAAGCACUCAUCUCUUUCAACGCAACGUGGAACAUAAUCAUGGGGAUAUCGUUCAGAAUCAGAGGCGGAAUGGUAAUAAAUUGAAAUUUGGUUUGGGAAUUUUUAUAUGACCGACCCACUCAAACUAUAAGAUUUUGAUUAACCGGUCCUCAACUUAGGAUCAAGGGGAGACUGGUUAUUAAUUUAAAUUUUGUUGGGGAUUUAAACCCGACAGACCCACUAAAACUUAAAGAAUGUGAUCAACCGGCCCUCAGACCACAAACGGACAAGCCCACAACUGAAAAUACCAAGAGUCCUUCGGGAAAAGCCCUAACCUCCCCAUGGCCAGUACGCCCUUGACAAGGAUAUCGUCAUGUCAUCUACAUGCAUCUUCUUAGCAUACUUAUUUUUUUUCCCCCUUUUUUUUUGGGGGGGGGGGGUAUACUCAUCUGCAAAUUUGAUAACAACGUAUGUAAAGGUUUUUAGUAUUGUUCUAAAGCUGUAUGAUUUGUGUUGAUAUAAUUAAUUAUUGAUAACUUGCACGGCUGUAAUCUCUUUUGCACAGUAGCCUUUUUGCACACUAGUAAGUAAUCUCAUUGUGUUAAGAUCAUGCAAAGUGAUUGACCUUACUGCCAAUUUGAGUGAUCGACUCCCAUAUAUCGACCGAUUUGUGGCUAUUCCGUGUGAUGCAAUGUUUAUCGGUCUGUUGACGAUCUAGCAACGAUCUCAUUAGUUUUACUGGAUCAUUGGCAUAACUUAUUCGUAGUGCAUGCUAAAAUAAAUCACAAUAAUAAGCCAGGAAAGCUUGUGUGCAAGAAUAACAUUUAAUUGGCAAUCCACUAACAAAACGAUUAAAAUAAAUGAACAGAUUUAUAGACAACUUGAGUCACGUGGUACAUGAAUACAUCUAGAAGCCAGUUCCAGAAGAAUAACAAUAUUCUCAAGAUGAUGACAUGGUUAACGAAUUCCAUGAAUGUUUAAGAUUUAUUUUUUCACUCCCAAACUUAAAUUGGUGUUUAAUUGGCCGUUAAAUUUAAUACACCUUUUUUGUAUAAAAUGAGUAUAAUGUUUCCCAUAAAGUUUGAAUGAUUUUUUGUUAACCUCUUUUCCUUAAAAGAUUGUGACAACAUGAUUUAUUCUUCAUAGAUGGUUGAUUUUCUACACAGAACUUUAUCGAACAAUCUCUAUGACUUUUUAGAAUGAUCAAUAAAGUUCUGUGAAUAUUGUCUAUCAGAGAAAAGAUCAAAUUGUCAUAAUCAUUUCAUUAAAGGGGCAACACAAUUUAUUCAAAAUGUAUGGCGCCAGUGUACAUGUACCAAUAAUCAGGAUCCCCAUUCGAAAUUCCUUCGCAUAUUUUGGUCAUAGUGUUGUUUGAAUACACGUCUUAAUGCUUCAUUGCCUUCGCCCACUGAUUUGAGUUUGGUAUUGAGUUUGGUAUUGUACAGCACAUAUAUUCAGUUAGUUGUCUUCACAUACUGCAAGGUGUCAGGUAUGGUGUGUUCACACUUAAAUUUAAUCGCAUUCUACAGGUGAUCGCACCAAGAUACUAUGUUGAUUCGAUAUACUUAUUAAAUGACCACUGGUUACUCACUAUUUCGUAUGGAAUGGAAUGAUGAUGACUUGAUUUUAUAUAUUAUUUCAUUGUUAAUCUUAAUAAUUGUAUUCACUCAACAAUCAAUAGCCUUUGCCAUUGUCCAUCAUGCAAACCCUAAAAGCGUAGUCAUAUUACAACUCGUACCGUUACAUGACAUUACUGAUAACUUUCUGAAACAUAGAAUAUCACAAACUGAUAGGUAUUAACAGCCGGCUCUAUUUUGUUACAUGAUUUCAAACAUUGCAUAUAUGAUUAAAAAUGGAGAAACAAUUAAAUAUACAGUGUACAGUUCAAUUGUUGUUUACGUUUGUAUUUUAACCUGUUCUAAAACAUAUAACCGAUAAUCAUAGACAAGUCAAAAGUAUGUUCCCAUACGUUAUCAACCACUCACAUAUCUUAUAAACCUGAUGAUUACGUUUAUAAGCCUAACCUAUCUUGGAUAAAACCAAAUGCCUAGAUUUUUUUAUUUUGAAGUUGAUCAUGUUCUGUAUUUCCUGAUAAUUUGAAAAUUGUCAUUAAACGAAUAUGCUUUGACUAGUUUGUUUUACCUGACUGCUAUUAAAGUAAGCAUAUGUAUGCUUGUAAUUAAUCAGUUAGGGCACCGAAGGCUUUAGGUCCUCUCCGAGGGACUUUUAAUGAGGAUCAAUUGCCUUACCCAAGGGCACUGGCACAUCGACUCAGUUUUGAAGUCGGGACCUCCCGGUUACCAGACCGAUGCUCUAUCACUUAGCCAUUGUGCUUCUAAAAUUUGAUACUAGGUAUUCCGUACGGGGCGUAAAUACCUUGGACCUGACCUAGACUGAAUAGAGUAAUACACAUCCAUACUUAACACAACCUGUUGCCAUAAAAAAGCGGUUUUAUAUUCCUAUUUCUUUGUUGUAUUUCUAUGCAAGCCAGACUGGCUUGGGAAGUGAACGGGUCGCUGAAAUUUUCGGAUCAUUUGCCCUGAAUGAUUAUUGAAUUUGUUAAUACCGUAUCUGCAAUUGUUCCCUACUCGACCAAAAAAA
Strongylocentrotus purpuratus (purple sea urchin) is the source of this 3150-nucleotide long non-coding RNA. RefSeq lists it as uncharacterized. The record is from RefSeq and is a predicted model, not a curated record. NCBI's taxonomy places the organism in Eukaryota, Metazoa, Echinodermata, Echinoidea, Camarodonta, Strongylocentrotidae. The transcript has 2 exons.